UCUACGGGGUGCAGCAGUGAGGAAUAUUGAUCAAUGGACGAGAGUCUGAACCAGCCAAGUAGCGUGAAGGAUGACUGCCCUACGGGUUGUAAACUUCUUUUAUAAAGGAAUAAAGUGAGGCACGUGUGCCUUUUUGUAUGUACUUUAUGAAUAAGGAUCGGCUAACUCCGUGCCAGCAGCCGCGGUAAUACGGAGGAUCCGAGCGUUAUCCGGUUUUAUUGGGUUUAAAGGGAGCGUAGAUGGGUUGUUAAGUUAGUUGGGAAAGUUUGGGGCUCAACCGUAAAAUUGCAAUUGAUACUGGCAGUCUUGAGUACAGUUGAGGUAGGCGGAAUUCGUGGUGUAGCGGUGAAAUGCUUAGAUAUCACGAAGAACUCCGAUUGCGAAGGCAGCUUACUAAACUGCCACUGACAUUGAUGCUCGAAAGUGUGGGUAUCAAACAGGAUUAGAUACCCGUGUAGUC
This 460-nucleotide ribosomal RNA is filed under the name uncultured bacterium. RNAcentral's name for it is "partial 16S ribosomal RNA". It matches the Rfam family "Bacterial small subunit ribosomal RNA", at positions 338 to 795 of the family's 1533-position model. The record is from RNAcentral.